CAUCAGAAUGAAUAAAAACGAAUUUAUUGUGAGGGGCAAGGAUCUCAGAUUGAGGUGGGAAGAGACCCAGGCAGACGCAGACCACAUCUGAAGGCGCAGAGUAUGCCAGGGAAAAGCUGCAGUCCUUACAUCAGCCGGGUCUGCCCACGGCCAAGAACAGCGGGAAAGAAGACAGGCAGGCAAGGAGAAAAGAAGAACGAAUGCUGUGGGCAAAGAACAAAGUAAGCGGGGAGAAUUUUGAUUAAGCAAGAAAAGGAAACUUUGCAACAGAAUUAAGGAAAAAGAGAGAAAUGAAGAGAGAAAGGGGAUGAAAAAAGGCAAGGAGGAGACAAGAAACGUUCACAAGACAAUAGUAAACCAAUAAAUAAAAUUGUUAAGAACAGCGAGUGGGGUGGAGGAGGGAGAAAUUAUAUUCAGUAUCUAAAGAAACAACAGCAGCCGUUCCCGAGAGGGACCGACCCCAUCCCCCCCCCCCCCCCCGCGAGCGCCGCACCCCGCGCGGGGACCGGGCCCCGGAUUCCGGCGUCUGCGCGGGGAUCGUAGCUACGGCCCCCGAGUUGAGCCACGCGUGAUCCCGGAAGGGUCUGCCAGGAGUUUUUAUGAGACCUAGGGGGACGAGUGCUGGAAAUUUGAUGGGUUGGGGCGCAGGUCGAGAAGUGGUGAAGACAGUGCUCUUCCCCGGAACCUCAGCGUGCGGAGGCCUGGGAAUCCAGUCGCUCCCAGACGAGCUGUACACCAGGACUGAGAGGCUUUGCCCUCAAUCCUACCCAAUUCCAGAAGAGCGCUUGCUGGGUCCUCCUGAGGCUACAGAGUGAACAAAUGGUGUUGUCUGCUUUCAACCUGCGAGCAUGUGGACUAGGCACAGGAAACUUGGUAGGUUUCAAACUCUCAGAGCCUUGGUUAUGACACUGACCCGUGCCUUCUCAAAGCUGCACUCCUUCUCAAAGCUGUCACUCC
Molecule: long non-coding RNA, 957 nt
Filed under: Homo sapiens (human)
Lineage: Eukaryota; Metazoa; Chordata; Mammalia; Primates; Hominidae
Description: HSALNT0133114
Source: RNAcentral